RNAcentral lists this transfer RNA (72 nucleotides) under Camelus bactrianus (Bactrian camel). It matches the Rfam family "tRNA". From Rfam's summary of the family: Transfer RNA (tRNA) molecules are approximately 80 nucleotides in length. Their secondary structure includes four short double-helical elements and three loops (D, anti-codon, and T loops). RNAcentral also lists the same sequence under 2 other names. Lineage: Eukaryota; Metazoa; Chordata; Mammalia; Artiodactyla; Camelidae. The record is from Rfam by way of RNAcentral.
GAGGGUAUAACCUAGUGGUAGAGCGCAUGCCUAGCAUGCACAAGGUCCUGGGUUCAAUCCCCAGCACCUCCA